CCUACGGGAGGCAGCAGUGAGGAAUAUUGGUCAAUGGGCGCGAGCCUGAACCAGCCCAGUAGCUUGAAUGAUGACUGCCCUACGGGUUGUAAACUUCUUUUAUAAAGGAAUAAAGUGAGGCACGUGUGCCUUUUUGUAUGUACUUUAUGAAUAAGGAUCGGCCAACUCCGUUCCAGCAGCCGCGGUAAUACGGAGGAACCGAGAGUUAUCCGGAUUUAUUGGGUUUAAAGGGAGCGUAGAUGGGUUGUUAAGUCAGUUGUGAAAGUUUGCGGCUCAACCGUAAAAUUGCAAUUGAUACUGGCAGCCUUGAGUACAGUUGAGGUAGGCGGAAUGCGUGGUGUAGCGGUGAAAUGCUUAGAUAUCACGAAGAACUCCGAUUGCGAAGGCAGCUUACUAAACUGCCACUGACAUUGAUGCUCGAAAGUGUGGGUAUCAAACAGGAUUAGAUACCUUAGUAGUC
Molecule: ribosomal RNA, 460 nt
Filed under: uncultured bacterium
Lineage: Bacteria
Description: partial 16S ribosomal RNA
Rfam family: Bacterial small subunit ribosomal RNA
Source: RNAcentral